RNAcentral lists this ribosomal RNA (494 nucleotides) under uncultured bacterium. RNAcentral's name for it is "partial 16S ribosomal RNA". It matches the Rfam family "Bacterial small subunit ribosomal RNA", at positions 28 to 507 of the family's 1533-position model. The record is from RNAcentral.
GACGAACGCUGGCGGCGUGCUUAACACAUGCAAGUCGAACGGUGAAGCGCCUUCCUUUUUGGUGGGUGUGGAUGAGUGGCGAACGGGUGAGUAACACGUGAGUAACCUGCCCCCUUCUUCUGGAUAACCGCAUGAAAGUGUGGCUAAUACGGGAUAUUCUGGGUCUGUCGCAUGAUGGGUCUGGGAAAGAUAUUGUUUCGGUGGGGGAUGGGCUCGCGGCCUAUCAGGUUGUUGGUGGGGUGAUGGCCUACCAAGGCGGUGACGGGUAGCCGGCCUGAGAGGGUGGACGGUCACACUGGGACUGAGACACGGCCCAGACUCCGACAGGAGGCAGCAGUGGAGAAUAUUGCACGAUGGGCGCAAGCCUGAUGCAGCGACGCCGCGUGAGGGAUGGAGGCCUGCGGGUUGUGAACCUCUUUCGCCAGUGAAGCAGGCCUGCCUCGUUUGUGGGUGGGUUGACGGUAGCUGGAGAAGAAGCGCCGGCUAACUACGUG